CCCGGCACAAGCAGCGGAGCGUGUGGUUUAAUUCGAUGCAACGCGAAGAACCUUACCAAGGCUUGACAUGCCAGAAGUAGGAACUCGAAAGAGAGACCACCUGUAUCCAGUCAGGAACUGGCACAGGUGCUGCAUGGCUGUCGUCAGCUCGUGUCGUGAGAUGUCCGGUUAAGUCCGGUAACGAGCGCAACCCUUGCCGUAUGUUACAAGUGUCAUACGGGACUGCCGGUAUCAAGCCGGAGGAAGGUGGGGAUGACGUCAAGUCAGCAUGGCCUUUAUAUCCGGGGCUACACACACGCUACAAUGGUCAGUACAAUAGGUUGCAAAGCCGCGAGGUGGAGCCAAUCCAUAAAGCUGGCCUCAGUUCAGAUUGCAGGCUGCAACUCGCCUGCAUGAAGUUGGAGUUGCUAGUAACCGCGCGUCAGCCAUAGUGCGGUGAAUACGUUCCCGGGCCUU
Molecule: ribosomal RNA, 456 nt
Filed under: uncultured Anaerolineaceae bacterium
Lineage: Bacteria; Bacillati; Chloroflexota; Anaerolineae; Anaerolineales; Anaerolineaceae
Description: bacterial SSU rRNA
Rfam family: Bacterial small subunit ribosomal RNA
Source: RNAcentral